UAUCCGUAGGGGAACCUGCGGAUGGAUCAUUAACAUAUUUAUUAUCCUUUAAUAACUAUUAUAACUGUUGAAGUUUUGUUAUUCUUUUUUAUUAAAGAACAACAUACUUUUUACUUAUAAACUAUAAAUUCCAUUAUAUCUAAUUUAUUAUACUUGUAUAACAAUAUAUAAGUAUUUAAUUAUUAAAAUGUGAAACAACCUUUAACAAUGGAUAUCUAGGUUCUCGCAUCGAUGAAGAACGCAGU
This 245-nucleotide unclassified non-coding RNA is filed under the name plant metagenome. RNAcentral's name for it is "partial contains small subunit ribosomal RNA, internal transcribed spacer 1, and 5.8S ribosomal RNA". The stretch from base 197 to 245 matches the Rfam family "5.8S ribosomal RNA", at positions 1 to 49 of the family's 154-position model. The record is from RNAcentral.